ACGUGACAAACGACGAAAUGCCUUGGGUAGCUGUAAGUAAGCGAUGAUCCAGGGAUUUCCGAAUGGGGGAACCCAACAGGUACUACCUGUUACCCAUAUCUGUUAAGGAUAUGAGGAGGAAGACGCAGUGAACUGAAACAUCUAAGUAGCUGCAGGAAGAGAAAGCAAAAGCGAUUGCCUUAGUAGCGGCGAGCGAAACGGCAGGAGGGCAAACCGAAGAGUUUACUCUUCGGGGUUGUAGGACUGCAAUGUGGACUUAAAGAUUAUAGAAGAACUACCUGGGAAGGUAGGCCAAAGAGAGUAACAGCCUCGUAUUUAAAAUAGUCUUUAUACCUAGCAGUAUCCUGAGUACGGCGGGACACGAGAAAUCCCGGCGGAAUCUGGGAGGACCAUCUCCCAACCCUAAAUACUCUCUAGUGACCGAUAGUGAACCAGUACCGUGAGGGAAAGGUGAAAAGCACCCCGGGAGGGGAGUGAAAUAGAACCUGAAACCGUGUGCCUACAACAAGUUCGAGCCCGUUCAUGGGUGAGAGCGUGCCUUUUGUAGAAUGAACCGGCGAGUUACGUUAUGAUGCGAGGUUAAGUUGAAGAGACGGAGCCGUAGGGAAACCGAGUCUGAAUAGGGCGCUUUAGUAUUAUGUCGUAGACCCGAAACCAUGUGACCUACCCAUGAGCAGGUUGAAGGUGCGGUAAAACGCACUGGAGGACCGAACCAGGGCACGUUGAAAAGUGCUUGGAUGACUUGUGGGUAGCGGAGAAAUUCCAAACGAACUUGGAGAUAGCUGGUUCUCUCCGAAAUAGCUUUAGGGCUAGCGUCGAUGUUAAGUCUCUUGGAGGUAGAGCACUGUUUGGGUGAGGGGUCCAUCCCGGAUUACCAAUCUCAGAUAAACUCCGAAUGCCAAUGAAUUAUGGUCGGCAGUCAGACUGCGAGUGCUAAGA
This 939-nucleotide ribosomal RNA is filed under the name Porphyromonadaceae bacterium. Its description in RNAcentral is "partial 23S ribosomal RNA". It matches the Rfam family "Bacterial large subunit ribosomal RNA", at positions 56 to 1003 of the family's 2925-position model. The record is from RNAcentral. Lineage: Bacteria; Pseudomonadati; Bacteroidota; Bacteroidia; Bacteroidales; Porphyromonadaceae.